This 1055-nucleotide ribosomal RNA is filed under the name uncultured bacterium. Its description in RNAcentral is "bacterial SSU rRNA". It matches the Rfam family "Bacterial small subunit ribosomal RNA", at positions 44 to 1083 of the family's 1533-position model. The record is from RNAcentral.
CUGCUUANCAUGCAGUCNAACGGGUGUAGCAAUACAUCAGUGGCGGACGGGUGAGUAACACGUGAGCAACCUGCCUUAGUCAGGGGAAUAACAUCCAGAAAUGGGUGCUAAUACCGCAUAAGACCACGCCUCGGCAUCGGGGAGGGGUAAAAGGAGAAAUCCGGAUUAAGAUGGGCUCGCGUCCCAUUAGGUAGUUGGUGAGGUAACGGCCCACCAAGCCCGCGAUGGGUAGCCGACCUGAGAGGGUGAACGGCCACACUGGAACUGANAAACGGUCCAGACUCCUACGGGAGGCAGCAGUGGGGAAUAUUGGUCAAUGGGGGAAACCCUGAACCAGCAACGCCGCGUGAGUGAAGAAGGUCUUCGGAUUGUAAAGCUCUUAAGAGGGGGAAGAAAAAAAUGACGGUACCCCUAAAGCAAGCCACGGCAAACUACGUGCCAGCAGCCGCGGUAAUACGUAGGUGGCAAGCGUUGUCCGGAAUGACUGGGCGUAAAGGGUGCGUAGGCGGCUUUUAAAGUUAGAAGUGUAAUCCUUAAGCUUAACUUAAGUGCUACUUCUAAAACUUAAGAGCUUGAGUGUGGGAGAGGUAAGUGGAAUUCCUAGUGUAGCGGUGGAAUGCGUAGAUAUUAGGAGGAACACCAGUGGCGAAGGCGGCUUACUGGACCAUAACUGACGCUGAGGCACGAGAGCGUGGGGAGCAAACAGGAUUAGAUACCCUGGUAGUCCACGCCCUAAACGAUGGAUACUAGGUGUAGGGGGGUAUCGACUCCCCCUGUGCCGUCGCAAACGCAAUAAGUAUCCCCGCCUGGGGGAGUACGGCCGCAAGGGUUGAAACUCAAAGGGAAUUGACGGGGACCCGCACAAGCNGCGGAANCNUGUGGUUUAAUUNCGAAGCAACGCGAAGAACCUUACCAGGNCCUUGACCUUCCCNCCCCAAAUUCCCAAAANAAUGGGGAAAGUUUCCUUUUCGGGGNACNCCGGAAAAACAGGGUGGGUGCCAUGGGUUUGUUCCUCCNAGCCUUCCGGGGUCCNNNGANAAAUGUUNCCGGNUUAA